Molecule: unclassified non-coding RNA, 473 nt
Filed under: Bombus terrestris (buff-tailed bumblebee)
Lineage: Eukaryota; Metazoa; Arthropoda; Insecta; Hymenoptera; Apidae
Description: misc RNA ENSBTSG00005036783.1
Source: RNAcentral
UGUUAAGUUGCUAUCGGUAAAUAUCUUUCAGUAUUCUCAAAGUCAAUUAAAUUUGUACUGUUAUUACUACAGAGAUGAUUGAAAGAGUAUCACAAUUGCUCAUUUCUGACAAUGUAUCACCGCUUAUGGAUAUUUGACCAUUUAUAAACAUAAACGGCAACUAUAUAAAUAGUCUAACAAUGGAAGUAGAUACGAAAAGACUUUAGGAAACUCGUUCGAAAAUAUAACUUUAUUAACAAUAUAACUACCUCGACUAAAUUGAAAUCUAAUACUAAAUAAUUUUGCAAGAAAACUAUUGGAAAGCAUUCACUGUGCCACCAGUCCUAGAAUUGAAAAAUGCUUCGAAUGCCACCAGUGUCCAAGUACAAAAAUAAAAAUCUACAGAUAUAGAAUUGAGUGAAUAGAAAAGAGAUGUAAAAAUUUCAUAUUCCACUCCCUGAAUCUUUUGUAUGGUUACUUUCGUCGCGUAAGAU